CGCCUCCUCCGCCCAAACCACCGCCACCGCCUAGACCGCCACCUCCUCCAAGACCGCCACCGCCGCCCAAACCCUUUCUAAAACCCUUCUUGUAAAUGCCAUGCUUGUGGAAGUAAGGACGAGGUUUGUGGAAGUAUGGACGAGGCUUGUGAAAAAAGUGUUUGUCGUCAUUAACCUCGACAUUUCCGAAUGCAAACUCGGCCACAAGGGCGAAUACAAAGAUAAACACACACAUCUUACGGGAAAUUAAACCCAUGCUUGAGCGUUUU
This 269-nucleotide long non-coding RNA is filed under the name Brassica napus (rape). RNAcentral describes it as "long non-coding RNA (BNAP_LNC016472)". Lineage: Eukaryota; Viridiplantae; Streptophyta; Magnoliopsida; Brassicales; Brassicaceae. The record is from RNAcentral.